GUGAGUGUCGCCUAGUGGUCUAAGGCGCCAGGUUGUGGCCCUGGAGAGCGAGGGUUCAAAUCCCUCCACUCACCCCA
RNAcentral lists this transfer RNA (77 nucleotides) under bacterium. Its description in RNAcentral is "tRNA-His". It matches the Rfam family "tRNA". Rfam says of the family: Transfer RNA (tRNA) molecules are approximately 80 nucleotides in length. Their secondary structure includes four short double-helical elements and three loops (D, anti-codon, and T loops). The record is from RNAcentral. RNAcentral also lists the same sequence under 3 other names.